GUUGUGCAUGUCGAGCCUGUUUGGCUAUUUAUGAGCAGGCUACACUAUAGUCGAUCAAGCCCUUGCAAGAUAGUAAUGCAUUUUUGCAUUCUAGGGUUACAAUGGCGACUAAUAAACAAGACGACCAUGCAGAUCUGAUAGAGAAGAGACCCACCCCGGUGACCUCCUACAGCCAUGGUCGAUGGCAGCCCC
Molecule: long non-coding RNA, 192 nt
Organism: Triticum dicoccoides
Lineage: Eukaryota; Viridiplantae; Streptophyta; Magnoliopsida; Poales; Poaceae
Exons: 2
Source: RefSeq, a predicted model, not a curated record